GAUGAACGCUGGCGGCGUGCCUAAUACAUGCAAGUCGAGCGAACAGACGAGGAGCUUGCUCCUCUGACGUUAGCGGCGGACGGGUGAGUAACACGUGGAUAACCUACCUAUAAGACUGGGAUAACUUCGGGAAACCGGAGCUAAUACCGGAUAAUAUAUUGAACCGCAUGGUUCAAUAGUGAAAGACGGUUUUGCUGUCACUUAUUGAUGGAUCCGCGCCGCAUUAGCUAGUUGGUAGGGUAACGGCUUACCAAGGCAACGAUGCGUAGCCGACCUGAGAGGGGGACCGGCCACACGGGACCUGAAACCCGGUCCAGACCCCGAGGGAGGCAGCAGUAGGGAAUCUUCCGCAAUGGGCGAAAGCCUGACGGAGCAACGCCGCGUGAGUGAUGAAGGUCUUCGGAUCGUAAAACUCUGUUAUUAGGGAAGAACAAAUGUGUAAGUAACUAUGCACGUCUUGACGGUACCUAAUCAGAAAGCCACGGCUAACUACGUG
This 496-nucleotide ribosomal RNA is filed under the name uncultured bacterium. RNAcentral's name for it is "partial 16S ribosomal RNA". It matches the Rfam family "Bacterial small subunit ribosomal RNA", at positions 28 to 507 of the family's 1533-position model. The record is from RNAcentral.